This 2179-nucleotide long non-coding RNA is filed under the name Homo sapiens (human). Its description in RNAcentral is "MCM3AP antisense RNA 1". Lineage: Eukaryota; Metazoa; Chordata; Mammalia; Primates; Hominidae. The record is from RNAcentral.
GGCUUGCGUCCCGGGAGCCCGGCCUCGUGCGCCGCGCUUUGAGCAGCAGACUGCUCGACAAACACUGCGCCAAGAGCUCCUCAGCAGAAGCUCCUCGCAUCAGAUCCUCUGUGCUGGGAAUCCUCCCCUCUUGAGCACACUCUGUGCUCCUCUUCCAGUUACGGUGCAUGUGAAGCAAUGGUAUGGGAAAAUUGUUUGCAGAAGGAUGAAAAGGCUUUAUUGCCAAACUGUAAGUACAUGAUUUGAAAUGUUUAUGGUCAAGAGAAAAUAUUUCUACAGCAUCAUGUAAAGCAUGUAGAUACAUUUGCACAUGUGCAUUAACAUGUAAGAACAUGUGCCUCAGACACAUGUGCCCUCCUGGAACAGCUCAUGCUGGCCCCAUGCCUGCUUCCAAGCUUCCAUCAAGUCAGGGAGUGGAGCAAAGAGGGAAGGCAGCCCCUGCACUGUAGGGACCCUUAUGCACAGAGGCAUUGAGACUGCCUGUUCCUCUUGGAAGCUUCUGCUCUCAAGAGGCAGCUAGGUUUUUGGAGCUUCUCUGCUUCAUGUCUUGCUUCCCACCCUAGGGUUCCAGAUUCUGUUCUUCCCUAGUAUUGGCAAGGUUUUUUAUAGAUAGCUCUUGGAUACAUUUGGAAGUAAUGUUUACAAAUGGUGAGAGAGAAGGCAUCUGACAUUUUUUUCUAAACACAUGCCAAUGUUUGUCUUUUCCCCACUAAUUUCAAUAAUUUGGCCUAACACUUUUGUCACAUAUUCUGACUCUUUAUUCUGAUCCAUUUAUCUACUCUGGCAUCCCCACAUGGUUUUAAGUACUGGAGCUUUACUGUAUGUCUUGGUAUCAGGCCAAGCAAACCAUGUUAGUCUUAUUUAAAACUUUCUCAGCAAUUGAUGCAUAUUUGUUUAUCCUGAUGAAUUUUAGAACUUACCAGUACUGACAUCUUCACAGCAUUGUAUCCUGUCAACAACCUAGUCUGAACCUCAAUGGUUCAGGUUUCCUUUGCACAUACAGGCCCUGAGAACUCAUAUGUUAAUGAGAAAGACAUUCCGGGAAACCAGGAGGUGAGGAGACCAAGGAUUAGGCUCCACUCCUAUUAUGAAGAUGAACAGUUUUUAGAGUAUCAUGGAGUUGGAGAAGGUACUUCAAGGAUCUCUAUGGGGAACAAGAAGGAACAGCAAAGUUCCACCAUCCUGUGCCCUUUCUGUUCAGGUUUAUUGUUGUGAAUGAGAAUUUUUUUUUUUUUAACAUGUUGUGGAUCUAUCUAUCUGAUCACCUUAUUGAACUGAGAAUGGUUCUAUGGACUUGACUUUUCUUGGACUGACAACUGUACUGUCUGGAAAUGACAGUUUCUCCUUCCUUUCAGUAUUUGUGCCUGUCUAUCCCACAUCCCUGUACUGGUCAGGAUUUCCAGGACAAUAGUGAAUAAUAGUCGGGACAACAGGCUGGUUCUGAUUCCACUGUUCCUAACAUUCUACCAAGAAGCAUGUUUUUUUUCUAUUUUGGUAGUUUUAUGUUAGGUAGCCUUAUCAAGUUAGGACUUUUUUUUUUUUUAACCCAAGCUAAAGAAAGUACCCAAAAUAAAGAAAUUUUAUCAGGAACAGGUAUAAAUUUUAAGAAACGUAUUUCAACGCCUGCUAAAAUUACCACUUAUUUUUCUAUUAUGGCAACAAAUUACAUUAAUAGAUUUUCACUGUUAUUGUUUAUCCUGGGAGAAAGCAUACUUGUGAACUUUUUUAGGUACUGUGCUUUGGAACCAAAUUUGGAAGUGAGAUGAAAUGUCAGCUGUACUCUCCUGGUUAGGUAUGAUUUCAGGGUCAGGUAUGCCUGAUAAAUGAAGUGAGAUGCUUUAACUUUGUUCUAGAAUAGUUUCUACUGCAUGGGAAUGAUCUGUUCCUUGAGGAUUUGUCACAGUCUGCCCACAGUGGACUGGAUUUGGCAUGUAGGAUGUUAAUUUCUAUUUACUUUGCAAGAAAAAUACAGUUUAGCAAGCAACAGAAACAUACUGAACAUGAACCUCACCGUCCCUCUCUCAGCUGUAGCUCCUUCUGCGUCUGCAACCUGGCUUGUUCCCACGACAAAGGAACAUCAUAUUUUUUCAAAUCGUUUUUAAAAAAAUACACACAUAUCUGACCAUCUUCACUCAGCGCCUCUGAGAAAACAAUACAAAAACAGAUAAAGAGGCCAGCC